GGACCCUGAUGGCAGCACGCCGCGUGAGCGAGAAGGUCUUCGGAUCGUAAAGCUCUGUUGUCAGGGAAGAACAUGUGCAGUGUUAACUGGCUGCACCCUGCCGGUACCUUACUGCCAAGCCCCGGGUUAAUACGUGCCAGCAGCCGCGGUAAUAA
Molecule: ribosomal RNA, 155 nt
Filed under: uncultured Bacillus sp.
Lineage: Bacteria; Bacillati; Bacillota; Bacilli; Caryophanales; Bacillaceae
Description: partial 16S ribosomal RNA
Rfam family: Bacterial small subunit ribosomal RNA
Source: RNAcentral